UCCCUAGUGGUCCAGAGGUUAGGACUUGGCCCUUUCACUGCUAGGGCUCAGGUUUGAUUCCUGGUUGGGGAA
Molecule: transfer RNA, 72 nt
Organism: Ovis aries (sheep)
Lineage: Eukaryota; Metazoa; Chordata; Mammalia; Artiodactyla; Bovidae
Rfam family: tRNA
About the family: Transfer RNA (tRNA) molecules are approximately 80 nucleotides in length. Their secondary structure includes four short double-helical elements and three loops (D, anti-codon, and T loops).
Source: Rfam